This 1927-nucleotide long non-coding RNA is filed under the name Monodelphis domestica (gray short-tailed opossum). RNAcentral's name for it is "lncRNA (ENSMODG00000031288.2)". Lineage: Eukaryota; Metazoa; Chordata; Mammalia; Didelphimorphia; Didelphidae. The record is from RNAcentral.
UCCGGGCCCCGCCGGUUUCAUAGACCUCGCGUUGCAGGGGGAGCCGGCGGGGGAGCGGGGCGGAGAGGUCGGGCCGGGUCGGGUCGGAGAGAGAGAAGGCUCGCUACGACGCGGAGGUCCAGGUGGAGGAGUCGAGAGACUGGGGGCUAGCGGCGGCUCGCGGAGGCGGUGACGGCCAGGUCCCCUGUUCAGUCCCGUUCAGAGGAAGGAAAAAAAGAGGAGGCGGUGGCGGUGCUGGGCUCCAACAUGUCCGUUUGGUGGUGGUGGUGGUGGUGGUGGCGGUGGUGGUGGUGGUGGCGGCGGCGGCGGCGGCGGCGGUGGUGGCGGCGGCUGCGCUUGGCGUCUCGUUGACACGGCCCCCCGCGCACACAUACAUACAAUCACUCACUCAUUCACUUACACGCACGCACAUACACCUACACUCGGGGUCAGGAAGCCGGCAGGCAGGCGGGCGGGCAGGCCAGCUAAGAGCCUGUUGUUGGAUUUGCUCGCCCCAGAAGACCUUCCUGGUGCCAGCCAGACCAUCGUAUUCUUUUCCCGCCUCAGCCGCCACCACCGCCAUCUUCUCCUACCGACCCUCCAGCCUCUUAUUUGAUGUUUUUGAAGUAGGUGUUUUUACUUCACUGUCUUCUGAGUUUGAGUUGAGGUCUUUUCUGUCCCCAUAAUAGCUGUUAAUAGUUGUGUUCUUUCUCCUUUUCUUGCUCUUCUUUUUUUUUUUCAGCAGCCAGGCCAAUAGAUUUAAUUAUUGUUUGUUUGUUUUUUUCCAAUAAUUGCCAACAUGUUACUAGUGUUUGGAUAUGCUACCUCAGGUUUCAAGACUUUCUUGUGUGUGUCUGUUUUUAACUGGAACCUAUUUAGUUAUUCCAACUUUGAUAGUCCGGAGUUGGAUAUACUUCCAGUCUCCCACUCAAAUCCCAGGCCAUGAUUCACCUCAGAUGCUCCAACCAAAGCCCACAGGAAGUUCUGCCACUGUAAUUGAAAGGAGACUGUCUACCUCCCCCUGUGGCAGUAGCCAGGUUGGGGCUGAUGGGGCCCCAGUACAUUAGCAACCAUACUCUCUGGUAUGCGCUCCUUCCUCACUUCUCCACUCCUAUUGUCUGAGCCCGGGAUAGAGCAGGUACCUAGUCUGAGUUCCUCAGACUCCAGAGUCCCUCAUUUGUUAGAAGUGAGGUUUAUGUUUCUGCCCUUAGGGCCUGGCACCCACAGAUUCUGUGGUAGUCAUUCCUUCACUCCCCAUCUGUGGACCACUGAUGGCCUCCAGAUCUAAGGCCUUGUAGACACAGCUUCUCCCAGAGCCCCCAGCCUAUGGAUUCCUGUGGUAUCCAGAAGGAUGUAAGCUUUGGGACUCAGAAACUAAGGUGAGACUGCUAGGUAUUGAUUCUACUCUGUUUGCUCUGUUCCUGCCCCCAGGGCCUGUGAUGAUGAGACUGAGGAUGGGGAAGUAAGAAACCUUCUUCCCUAGUUAUCCCUGGCAGUUCAGGGGCUCUCCAGACUCCUGUCUAUUUUUGUAGCUUUUAGCACUGAUUCUGUAGAGGGAUUUUUGGUUGUUUGUGGGGGGUAUUAGGAGGGCAAGGAAGCUUCAUAUCCUACUCUGCCAUUUUCCCACAAGGAAUCCAAUGCCAGAUUUUUUUUGAUGUUUUGAUUAGUUUUGCUGAUUCCCACCCCCCCCUUUCUCUUUUAGGUAGCUGGGUACACAAUGCAUAGAGCACAAGAUGUAUAGCCAAGAAAACCUGAGUUCAAAUCCUACCUCUGAUACUAGCUGUGGGAUCUGAGGCAACUUAGUUAAUAUCUACCUGCCUCAGUUUCCUCAUCUGGAAAAUAAUGGUGAUAAUUGCACCUACCUCACAGAGUUCUUAUAAAGAUCAGAUGAUUGAAAAAGUAGAAGAUGUAAAUUAUCUACAAUAAAAAACAAGUGAGCUGGAAAACA